This 274-nucleotide ribosomal RNA is filed under the name uncultured bacterium. Its description in RNAcentral is "partial 16S ribosomal RNA". It matches the Rfam family "Bacterial small subunit ribosomal RNA", at positions 523 to 796 of the family's 1533-position model. The record is from RNAcentral.
CUACGGAGGGUGCAAGCGUUACUCGGAAUCACUGGGCGUAAAGCGCGCGCAGGCGGCUAUUUAAGUUGGAUGUGAAAGCCUACGGCUCAACCGUAGAACUGCAUCCAAAACUAUUUAGCUAGAGUGUGGGAGAGGAAGAUGGAAUUAGUUGUGUAGGGGUAAAAUCCGUAGAGAUAACUAGGAAUACCAAAAGCGAAGGCAAUCUUCUGGAACACUACUGACGCUGAGGCGCGAAAGCGUGGGGAGCAAACGGGAUUAGAUACCACAGUAGUCC